Molecule: ribosomal RNA, 301 nt
Filed under: uncultured bacterium
Lineage: Bacteria
Description: partial 16S ribosomal RNA
Rfam family: Bacterial small subunit ribosomal RNA
Source: RNAcentral
CAGUCGCCGCGGUAACACGAAGGGUGCAAGCGUUAAUCGGAAUUACUGGGCGUAAAGCGUGCGUAGGCGGUGAGUUAAGUCUGCUGUGAAAUCCCCGGGCUCAACCUGGGAAUGGCAGUGGAUACUGGCUCGCUAGAGUGUGUCAGAGGAUGGUGGAAUUCCCGGUGUAGCGGUGAAAUGCGUAGAGAUCGGGAGGAACAUCAGUGGCGAAGGCGGCCAUCUGGGACAACACUGACGCUGAGGCACGAAAGCGUGGGGAGCAAACAGGAUUAGAUACCCCAGUAGUCCCUGUCUCUUAUAA